CCCACCCGCCCCGGAGGAGGAGGUCCCAGAGAACAGGCCGCCCACCUCGAGGGCUGACCACCCUCGUCUUUCACACUGCUACGGUGCUCGUUGUUCGGAUCCGUGAGUCGACCAGAACCCCAGCAUCACUACCACACUGCAAUUUGCUUCUGCCUCAAUGAUGAACAGAUUAGCACAGCGCACCAUCGAGCCACAGCCAGGAAGUGGCCUGAAACCUCAUGCAGGACCUGAGCAACCCAAGCAGGGUCCCGCCGUCCCUCACUUCCGGAUGACACAGAGGGAGAUGAAGUUGAAGCAGACAGCCCACGAGCCUGUGGUCAUGUCAUCCUCAGGGUCUUGCUAUAUAGUCCACACUGGCCUCAAACUCACAAUUCUGCUUUGGCCUCCUCAGUGCUGGGAUUACAGGAAUGGACCACCACACCCAGGUUCAGAAUAUUCUGUUUUUUCUGGAAAACAGAAUUACCCUCUUGUUUCAAUUAACAUAACAAUUCUGAUUACAUAACAGUAAACAUUUAAGUACCAAACCAGAAAAAAAAAUUGUUUUAAUAAAUUUUUUUCAUUUUCUUAG
This 568-nucleotide long non-coding RNA is filed under the name Heterocephalus glaber (naked mole-rat). Its description in RNAcentral is "lncRNA (ENSHGLG00000041169.1)". Lineage: Eukaryota; Metazoa; Chordata; Mammalia; Rodentia; Bathyergidae. The record is from RNAcentral.